Molecule: ribosomal RNA, 521 nt
Filed under: Clostridioides difficile
Lineage: Bacteria; Bacillati; Bacillota; Clostridia; Peptostreptococcales; Peptostreptococcaceae
Description: bacterial SSU rRNA
Rfam family: Bacterial small subunit ribosomal RNA
Source: RNAcentral
UUCGUGGACACUGGUGACAGGUGGUGCAUGGUUGUCGUCAGCUCGUGUCGUGAGAUGUUGGGUUAAGUCCCGCAACGAGCGCAACCCUUGUCUUUAGUUGCCAUCAUUAAGUUGGGCACUCUAGAGAGACUGCCAGGGAUAACCUGGAGGAAGGUGGGGAUGACGUCAAAUCAUCAUGCCCCUUAUGCUUAGGGCUACACACGUGCUACAAUGGGUAGUACAGAGGGUUGCCAAGCCGUAAGGUGGAGCUAAUCCCUUAAAGCUACUCUCAGUUCGGAUUGUAGGCUGAAACUCGCCUACAUGAAGCUGGAGUUACUAGUAAUCGCAGAUCAGAAUGCUGCGGUGAAUGCGUUCCCGGGUCUUGUACACACCGCCCGUCACACCACGGGAGUUGGAGACGCCCGAAGCCGAUUAUCUAACCUUUUGGAAGAAGUCGUCGAAGGUGGAAUCAAUAACGGGGGUGAAGUCGUAACAAGGUAGCCGUAUCGGAAGGUGCGGCUGGAUCACCUCCUUUCUAAGGA